Molecule: ribosomal RNA, 459 nt
Filed under: uncultured bacterium
Lineage: Bacteria
Description: bacterial SSU rRNA
Rfam family: Bacterial small subunit ribosomal RNA
Source: RNAcentral
AACGAACGCUGGCGGCAUGCCUAACACAUGCAAGUCGAACGAGACCUUCGGGUCUAGUGGCGCACGGGUGCGUAACGCGUGGGAACCUGCCUUUAGGUUCGGAAUAACUCAGAGAAAUUUGAGCUAAUACCGGAUAAUGUCUUCGGACCAAAGAUUUAUCGCCUUUAGAUGGGCCCGCGUUGGAUUAGCUAGUUGGUGGGGUAAAGGCCUACCAAGGCGACGAUCCAUAGCUGGUCUGAGAGGAUGAUCAGCCACACUGGGACUGAGACACGGCCCAGACUCCUACGGGAGGCAGCAGUGGGAAUAUUGGACAAUGGGCGAAAGCCUGAUCCAGCAAUGCCGCGUGAGUGAUGAAGGCCUUAGGGUUGUAAAGCUCUUUUACCUGAGAUGAUAAUGACAGUAUCGGGAGAAUAAGCUCCGGCUAACUCCGUGCCAGCAGCCGCGGUAAUGUAGUCGUGU